GCUGUGGUUGUUGUGGGAACAGCUGUGGUUGUUGUGGGAACAGCUGUGGUUGUUGUUGGAGCUGCUGUGGUUGUUGUGGGAGCAGCUGUGGUUGUUGUGGGAGCAGCUGUGGUUGUUGUGGGAACAGCUGUGGUUGUUGUGGGAACAGCUCUGGUUGUUGUUGGAGCAGCUGUGGUUUUUGAAGUAGCGACUGUGGUUGUUGUGGGAGAUUCUGUGGUUGUUGUGGGAACAGCUGUGGUUGUUGUGGGAUCAACUGUGGUUGUUGUGGGAGCAGCUGUGGUUGUUGUGGGAGCAGCUGUGGUUGUUGUGGGAGAUUCUGUGGUUGUUGUGGGAGCAGCUGUGGUUGAUGUGGGAGCAGUAGUGGUUGUUGUUGGAGUAUCUGUGGUUGUUGUAGCAGCUAUGGUUGUUGUGGGAACAGCUGUGGUUGUUGUUGGAGCAGCUGGUGUUGUUGUGGAAGCAGCUGUGGUUGUUGUGGGAGCAGCUGUGGUUGUUGUGGGAAAAUCUCUGGUUGUUGUUGGAGCAGCUGUGGUUGUUGUGGGAAUAGCUGCGGUUGUAGUGAGAGCAGCUGUGGUUGUUGUGGGAGCAGCUGUGGUUGUUUUGAAUGUAUCUGUGUUUGUUGUUGGAGCAGUUGUGGUUGUUGUUGGAAGAGUUGUGGUUGUGGUUGGUACAUCUGGGGUUGUUGUCGGAGUAGCCGUGGUUGUUGUGGGAACAGCUGUGGUUGUUUUUGAAGUAUCUGUGGUUGUUGUUGCCCCAAUUGUAGUUGUCGUUGGAGCUUCUAUGGUUGCUGUGGGAGAAGCUAUGGGGUUGUGGGGAUGGCUGUGGUUGUUGUGGGUGCACCUUUGGUUGUUGUGGGUGCACCUGUGGUUGUUGUGGGUGCAGCUGUGGUUGUUGUGGGAAUAGUUGUGGUUGUUGUUGGAUAUGCUGUUGUUGUUGUGGGUGCAUCUGUGGUUUUUGUGGUAGAUGAUGUGGUUUUUGUUGGAGCAGCUGUGGUUGCUGUAGGAGCAGCUGUGGUUGUUGUGGGAGCAGCUGUGGUUGUUGUUGGAGUAGCUGUGGUUGUUGUGGGAGCAGCUGUGGUUGUUGUGAGAGCAGCUGUGGUUGUUGUGGGAGCAGCUGUGGUUGUUGUGGGAGAUUCUGUGAUUGUUGUGGGAGCAGCUGAGGUUGUUGUUGGAGCAGCUGGGGUUUUUGAAGUAGCGACUGUGGUUGUUGUGGGAGAUUCUGUGGUUGUUGUUGGAGCAGCUAUGGUUGUUGUGGGAGCAGCUGGGGAUUUUGUUGGAGCCGCUGUGUUUGUUGUGGGUGAGGCUGCGGUUGUUGGGAGAGCAGCUGUCGUUGAUAUGGGAGCAGCUGUGAUUGUCGUUUGAGCAGCUGUGGUUGUUGUUGGAACAUCUGGAGUUUUUGUCAGAGCAGGUGGCGUUGUUGUGGGUAUAGCUGUUGUUGUUGUGGCAGCAACUGUGGUUGUUGUGGGAGAUUCUGUGGUUGCUGUGGAAGAAUAUGUGGGGAAGGAUGUGGUUGUUGUGCGAGCAGCUGUGGUUGUUGUUGGAGAAGGUGUGGUUGAUGUGGGAGCAGUUUUGGUUGUUGUUGGAGUAUCUGUGGUUGUUGUAGCCCCAAUUGUAGUUGUCGUUGGAGCUUCUGUGGUUGUUGUUGGAGUAUCUGUGGUUGUUGUAGCCCCAAUUGUAGUUGUCGUUGGAUCUUGUAUGGUUGUUGUGGGAGAAGCUGUGGUUGUUGUUUGAACAUCUG
This is a long non-coding RNA of Oncorhynchus tshawytscha (Chinook salmon), 1734 nucleotides long. Lineage: Eukaryota; Metazoa; Chordata; Actinopteri; Salmoniformes; Salmonidae. The record is from Ensembl.